AUAUGGGCUUUAUCAUGAGGAUGGCAUCUCCCUCUCGCCUUCCUGACGGCCAGAGAAGCUCGGAGUCAAGCACCCCACUCCUCUGCAGAGACAGACGGGCACAUGCGGGUGUCGGUGGGUCUUGUUUCUCUUGAGUGCAGCGGAGAAGUCCGGAGGGGAAUCCAGCACCUCGCAGUGAUGGCACAGCACAAAAAUAAAAAAAUCCCUCUCCCCAGCCAGGUGGCAUCUGCAGGUCCCUGGAGCCGAGAGCUUCUGGAGACGGCGCUGGCUGGUUCUGGGUGAGGGGAGGAAGCUCCGGGUGACUCUGACUCACCGCUCCGCAAGAUUAAUUGCCGGGCGUUGCAGGAGGUUUAUCACUGCCACCCGCGCUCGCCGCGGCUGCGGCUCCUGCUGCCCGGGGAGCCGGGGCGAGGAGGGGCUGCUGGCACCGGGCUGUGCCGCUGGAGCCGCCGUGUCCCUGCCAGGGGAGGCGAUGCUGGAUAUCUGCUCCCGCACGCCCCGGGAGCAGCCCUAAGCUCUGCUCAGAUGCCCCAGGGUGCAGGGGGUGCUUUUUCUGUCUCCUGAACGGGUCACACCAUUCUGUGCCUCAGUUUCCAGCCCCGCAGGGCAGCUGUGUUUGAGCUGGGCUCUCCUGCCACUCUUGGUUCCUGUUUUGGAGCUGUUCUGCCUUGUGGAGAGGCCCACCUUGGGAAACUGGUGGCAAAUCCAGGGCCUAUCCAGACUUCCCCUCCAUCCUGAUGUCCUCAGCACUGACAAGCUCAGCAACUGUGAUGAACAAAAUCUUUUGCAUAAUCAAUAAUUAAUGUCUGGGGUUUCCAAGCAGCUAAUUAAUCUCCUGGUGAAUCGUGGAAAAAAAUGUUUAGGGGAAAUGUAGGUGUUUUCAAGCCAGGUGAGCAAAGGUUCACGCUCAGCCCAGGCUCUUCUGUUAACCCAUAUCCAUCCCUGGAGAGCUUCUAGCUCCAAGUGAUGCUGUUCAUUGCCAGAGUGUGGACAAUAUUGAUCAUAAAUAUUUGCCUAAUGAGAUCAUAUCUGCUUUCCAGCAUAUGCAGUGAGUGACCUCAAAAGGCCUGGUGUCCUUUGGGUGAGCUCCCAACGAGCUUAAUUGUCUAUCUGAGUCUUGCAGCUCUGGAGGUGACCUGCACUGGGCUGUGUGGAGGGGUCAGGUCAGUCCCAGCAAUGCUGGGAGUUCUGGAGGCAGGGAACAGAACUUGCUGGGCCAAUCCGAGCCUCCCAGCCCAGUGCUCCCACCCAAAAGCUGGGAAAUGCAGCACAUAAACAAUUCAGGUUCCAAUUCAGGUUCCUUGCCUUAGGCAAAGAUUUGAGAGGAUUACUCUGGUCACUGGUUGCAGAUUUAGGGAAUAUCACAGGCUUCAUCCACCCCAUUCCCCAGUAAAUUCUGACCUGGGAAACCUCUGCUAGGUUCUCUAGAAGCUUCAGCAGCAGUUGUUCUCAGGCAUGGCAGCUCUGGGCAAAGGCUUUGACCCAAUUUCAGGCAACCUGAAGAGUUGAAAAGUCCUCAAAGCAGCGAUUUCUCUCUGUGACUUUCAGGAAGCUGUGUUGUCCUCCCCUGCUGGAGACCUCCCUGUGAGCUGUGGUAGAUCAGUCCCAAGGCAGAUUUGCAGCCACAGCUCUUCGCUGGUGACCAGGAACAGAGCUUUGCAGCCUCCCAUCAGGCCCCUGACAAAUUUGCCUGAACACUGGUCAGGUCCAGGCUUGCUGCAGUCCGUUUCUGUGUGAGCAGGCCAUGAAUUCGUUCUCCCCAGCUCUGGCUCUUCAGCUGGUCCCAGAAUAGCCAAGUCAGUGACUCGUGGCUCAUUUUGAACGAUUGCCAAGCAGCUGCAGCUGUCCUUGACUUUAUCUCUGCUCCAGUGUGGCUUUGCCCAGCUCCACAAGUUCACACUAGGAGACUCCACUCCCCCUUCCCAGAAUAGAAGACAUCCAGGGCCCAGUGUCAGCAAGUUUAGCAGCUGUGGGAAGUGUUAUCCUUUGAGCAAUCAGUAAUUAGCCCAGUUGAAAGGCCAGAGUCCUUGUGGCUAAUGAGUAGCUUGAGAUGAGACCUACAAUCUCCUGACCCUCUUUAAGUCUCCUGGUGGCUUCCAAAGACUUCCUGGAUUGCUCUCACCUUUAUGCCAGCUCCCAGUGGCCUUCUGUCAUGGGAGCUGUUCCUCUCCAGCAGACCCAAAGCUCAUGGUCACUCUUGCCUGGUCAUCUCUGGCUAUGUCCUGUUCCUCCCCACUCCACCUGCCCUCCACACUGCUCUUAACCUCCCAUUUCCAUCACACCUUCUAUAUCCCUGCUCACCUCCAGUCUCCAGCCUACCUGUCCACAGCUGCCACAUCUGGAACUGCUGUCUCUGUGACCAGGGCUGGCCUUGGUCAGUGCUGCUUGAGGAGACACUGCAGGGACACUGCUGGAGGCAGGGGGAAGAUGGUUGAUGAUGGUUGAUGGUGGUGAUUCCAGAUCUGCUCCUGAUGGAUGGAGCAGCAUUGAUGGUGGUGAUACCAAAUCUGCUCCUGAUGGAUGGAGCAGGGUUGAUGGUGGUGAUACCAGAUCUGCUCCUGAUGGAUGGAGCUACCUCCUGUGCCUCCAGCCUCUCUUCAUCUUGCUGUCAACCUGGAAAAAGAUGUAGCUCACCUCCUGGAGAGCUCACCUUGACCAUGGGAACAUUGAUUUUUGGGUUUUGCUCAUGCCGAGGGUCUGUGAAAUCAGCACAGGGCAGAAGCUUCAGCCAGGGGAAGAGGCUGAUCCAGCAGCAAUUGCUUCUCUGUGCAGAUACUUUGUGCAUUCAGGCCCUGGUUCCUCAGGAGCAGCAUGGAAAAUGAAGGCACUGUGGGAUUAAUGGAUUUACCUGAGACCUCUGGAGCCUCCUUUUCCCUUGUUUUACCUGUUAAGUACCUCUGCUUCCCUGCCUUGCAAACAGCAGCUUCUUUUCCUUCAGAGGUGUUCCAGGCUGGGAAUAUUCACAGCCCUGUGUUAUCUGCUGUCAGCAAAGAGAUGGGAACAUCUUGGACUGAAGUAGUUCCUCCCCUUUCCAGGAUGAUGAGAACAGCAGUGGGAGAUUUAUCCUUGAUCUCAAAUCCUUGAGACUUACCCCUAUCCCUUGAGAAGGGAAAGAUUCAGAGUGACCUAAAGCAGCAGUGCAGUACCUGUGAGGAGCUGUUGGAGAAGACAGCCAGACUCUUCAGAGCAGUGUGUGGUGAGAGGAAGAGAGACAACAGGUAUGAGGUAAGUUAAGAGAAGCUCAGGCUGGUGAUAAAGACACUUUUUUUCCAUGAAGGCAGCCAGUCAUCAGCAGCUUGCCCAGGAAAGCUGCACUGUCUCCAUCCUCUGAGGUUUUCAAGCCCUACUGGACAAUGAGAUCUGGCAGCUGACCUUGCUUGGAGCACAAAGUUGAACCAGAGACCUGCUGAGGUCCCCUGUGACCUGGGAAAUUCUGCCACUUUAUGUUGAGGUCAGCAUUCCAGGACUGCUCCGCCUCCUCACACAAUGAACCCCAAAGGAGUUUUUGGGUUCCUGAAGGCUGGAAGAAGGUGGCUGUGCCAUGUCAAAGACCAUGGAUCACCGGGCACUGGCUUCAUCAUCAAUAAUUAAUGUCUGGGGUCUCCAAGCAGCUAAUUAAUCUCCUGGUGAAUAGUGAAAAAAAUCUUUAGGAGAAAUGUGGGUGUUUUCAAGCCAGGUGAGCAUAGAAGCACUGCCUUCACAGAAUGAUAAAAUAAAAUCCUGGCAUGGUUGGGGUUGGAA
Molecule: long non-coding RNA, 3741 nt
Organism: Haemorhous mexicanus (house finch)
Lineage: Eukaryota; Metazoa; Chordata; Aves; Passeriformes; Fringillidae
Exons: 2
Source: RefSeq, a predicted model, not a curated record